AGGCCUAACAAUAGGAAGGAGAAAAUAACAAGACAGAAUGAAAAGCUGAAAAGAAGAAAACAAGAUCCACCUCGAACCUCUCUCCAAUUUCAUCAGAAAAAUUCAAAAUUGAUUAGGAAGAAGAAGAACAAGAAAAAAAGAAAGAAUGAGAGAAGAAGAAUCAAAUUGGUUCGAAGAGUUACCUUCACCGGAGGAACUCAUGCCCUUAUCCCAAACCCUAAUAAGCCCUCAUCUUGCCGUAGCUUUUGACAUAACAAACUCUUCCCACCACCAAUUUCCACUUCAGCCACCUUCCGCCGCCGAGGACGAACCGGCGCGAACACUCAAGCGGCCCAGACUCGUGUGGACCCCACAGCUCCACAAGCGCUUCGUCGAUGCCGUCGCCCACUUGGGGAUCAAGAACGCCGUUCCCAAGACCAUAAUGCAGCUCAUGAGCGUCGACGGUUUGACCCGGGAAAACGUCGCCAGCCACCUCCAGAAAUACCGCCUCUACUUGAAGCGCAUGCAGGGUUUGGCCGGAGGUUCCGCCGCCGACUCCGCCACGGACCACCUAUUCGCCAGCUCGCCUGUGCCGCCGCACUUCCUGCACCCCGCUACCCGCCCGGCCUCUGACCAUUACCUGCCCUUUGUGCCGGGGUUGCAGCAGCACCGCAAUCACCACCACCACCAGCACAUGGCGGUGCCUGCUCAUUUUGGCUCGCCACGGAAUGCGCACUUUGAACUCCCCGUUCUGUCGAGGAUGGGAGCUUCGGUGCCGGGUUACGUGGAGGAUGUGGAGUCGGGAGGGAGGAAGGUUCUUACUUUGUUUCCAGCUGGAGAUGAUUGAAUGUGAUCGAUGGGUGAUGGCAAGGUUUUAAAUUAUGGGUGGGGUUGUGAUUUAUUAGCGUUUUUUUAUGUUGUAAAAAGUUGCAGACAAAUGUGGUUGAUGCAGUUACAAUAGUGGUUAACUUCAAAAAGUUGUGACUGAGAUUGCUGUUGCUUACUGUUUUUGAUGAUAACGAUGGUUUUUUUCAUUGUUGUUCAUAGGUAUUAUCUUUGUUUGUACUGUGUUCCGCCCCGUGAAAGUAAUGUUUGAUGGUGUAUUUUAGGUUUGGUCAGGGUCAAGGAUUUUAAGAACUGUCUGUGACCACAAUUUCAGGCUCAAUCUGAAAGCUUUCGAACUCUUUGCAACCGCAAUUGAGGCUGCUUCUGUCUGCAAUGAUUACGAUCUUGACGAGAAGGCAUUUUGAAACCUCGGCUAGUGUCUAAAUCGGCUGCACUCAAAGCUAUCUAGAUUCUACGGUGUUACCAAUUGUGAAGUUUUAUAUCAGCAUUGGCAGGAACAAGUUUUCUAUUUAGGAGGCUGAAGAUAGUAAUAAGUGAAGUGUGCUUUGUGCUGGUUAGAUAUCGAAGGAAGCUAAUCAAAUUGGCCCAUUGUUAGAUACCGAAUGUGCUUUCUUCCCUGUUUCUUGUUAGAAUUGUAUAUUGUUUGGCUCUGUAGAAGAAUUAAAUGUGUAAUGGAAAGCUGAUUAAAAGCCAGUUUAUAUUUCCUUGUUGGUUUAA
Molecule: RNA transcript, 1542 nt
Organism: Vigna angularis (adzuki bean)
Lineage: Eukaryota; Viridiplantae; Streptophyta; Magnoliopsida; Fabales; Fabaceae
Gene name: transcription factor MYBC1
Exons: 2
Source: RefSeq, a predicted model, not a curated record